GGAGAGAAAUCUUUGACGAGGGGGAUCCUAACAAAUGCUGGAAAGCUUGGGCUUCGUUUACUUGAAGACCUGACAGCUCUUGCUGCAGGCAAUUUGGUUACAUGUAAAAUCCUUCAACGGAUAUUUGCACUUGACAUACUUGAGUUCAUUCUGUCCAAUUAUGCUGUUAUUUUCAAGACCUUGGGCCCUUAUGAACAGGUUAUGCGUCACCAGAUUUGUUCACUUUUG
RNAcentral lists this unclassified non-coding RNA (228 nucleotides) under Hevea brasiliensis (rubber tree). The record is from RNAcentral. Lineage: Eukaryota; Viridiplantae; Streptophyta; Magnoliopsida; Malpighiales; Euphorbiaceae.